Molecule: ribosomal RNA, 115 nt
Filed under: Citrobacter portucalensis
Lineage: Bacteria; Pseudomonadati; Pseudomonadota; Gammaproteobacteria; Enterobacterales; Enterobacteriaceae
Source: RNAcentral
UGGCGGCUGUAGCGCGGUAAUCCCACCUGACCCCAUGCCGAACUCAGAAGUCUUACGCCGUAGCGCCGAAGGUAGUGUGGGGUCUCCCCAUGCGAGAGUAGGGAACUGCCAGGCA